Molecule: unclassified non-coding RNA, 186 nt
Filed under: uncultured fungus
Lineage: Eukaryota; Fungi
Description: sequence contains ITS1, 5.8S rRNA gene
Source: RNAcentral
UCGAAUUACUGAGGGUUGUUGCUGGGUGCCAAAAGACACCAAGUGCACGCCUUCCUUCAUUCUCAAACCCCUGUGCACCUAUUGUAGGCUUGGUCGUAGGGCUGGCUUCGGUCGGUCUGAAAGCCUUGCCUAUGCUUUAACACACGCUUCAGUCUAUGAAUGUCAUUGCGGAUAACGCAUUAUAUA